UUUUACAAAUUCUAACAAAAACCGUAAAAAUGCUGAAGCAAAUAGUACAUGUAUCGUCACUGUCCCGCCGCAAAAGUCAGUCAUCAGUUGAAGUAAAGUGCUCUGUUUCUGAACAUCGGAAACCGUCUACGUGUCGCCGGAGAAUCUCACCCUUGUUGCUUCCUUGAUUGGAUUUCGCCGCAUCCUACGUCAACCCGACCAGUGUGCUUAACAGUUCGUGCUUUGGUGAAGCCAUAAUUACAGCUAAGAAGGAUAAGCAAUGGUUGAGGUGAGUUUGGAGGAGGCCUUUUAACUCGGCUUUGUGGAGGUGUGGCAAAGACAUUACUGGUUGUUGAUGUCAGCAGAAAUAGUCGUAGUGCAGACUCUUCAUUGUGGUUGGAGAGUUAUACUGUCAAGGAGCGCAAGAUCACAAGAUGGAAUCCAGAACAGUGCCGCGAAGAUCAUACAAUGGUUGGAACUUGGAAGUGAAAAUGGAGUCAAGGAAGAGAUUUAGUAUUUUUUUAUUUGCUACAACCGAGUCAGAGGUAUGCCUUCCUAAUUGGAUAGAAUGAGCAACUAUUAUUUGUAUGAAAAGAAUUUGGCACUGAUGUGUGUAUGAUACUGAAUAUAUUGCUCAUCAAGGUGUAUGAUACUGAAUAUAUUGCUCAUCAAGGUUUUAAUCACAAUUUGUAAAUCACAAAAGUAUCCUUAUAAGAGAAGAUGAAACUAAUAUUUUCCUACA
Long non-coding RNA from Rosa rugosa (rugosa rose), 721 nucleotides. RefSeq lists it as uncharacterized. The record is from RefSeq and is a predicted model, not a curated record. Lineage: Eukaryota; Viridiplantae; Streptophyta; Magnoliopsida; Rosales; Rosaceae. The transcript is spliced from 2 exons.